AUACUUACCUGGCAGGGGAGAUACCAUGAUCACGAAGGUGGUUUUCCCAGGGCGAGGCUUAUCCAUUGCACUCUGUAUGUGCUGACCCCUGCGAUUUCCCCAAAUGUGGGAAACUUGACUGCAUAAUUUGUGGUAGUGGGGGACUGCGAAAAAAAUAAAUAAAUAAAGGAAGCCUUUGGUUGCCGGACCCCUC
Molecule: small nuclear RNA, 193 nt
Organism: Heterocephalus glaber (naked mole-rat)
Lineage: Eukaryota; Metazoa; Chordata; Mammalia; Rodentia; Bathyergidae
Gene: U1
Rfam family: U1 spliceosomal RNA
About the family: U1 is a small nuclear RNA (snRNA) component of the spliceosome (involved in pre-mRNA splicing). Its 5' end forms complementary base pairs with the 5' splice junction, thus defining the 5' donor site of an intron.
Source: Ensembl